Molecule: long non-coding RNA, 749 nt
Organism: Gambusia affinis (western mosquitofish)
Lineage: Eukaryota; Metazoa; Chordata; Actinopteri; Cyprinodontiformes; Poeciliidae
Exons: 2
Source: RefSeq, a predicted model, not a curated record
GCUCAUUAAACUCUGUCUGCAUGUUUAAUGUGUUAUUUUGUAGUUCUUAGAAUGUCCUGUAGGGGGCAUUAGACCCACAUUUCCCCUGUGUCAGUACGAGAAGAAGAGUAAGAGCGAGGAAGAGAAAAGAAAUGGCAGACUAAGCACGUUUCAGCAGGAAUAGAGAAGCUACUAUGCAAAAGAGCGGUUGUGAUAUGAAAGAAGUCUGUUUAUCUUGAACUGGAUGAUGUAUAGUCUGUUCUUAGAUUUCUCCGGUUGGUUUUUUUUUGUUUGGACAACUGAAAUCUGAACGAGCCAGUGGAGUUCCAGAAGCACGAGGGUCCCGCCGCCAUAUUUGUGACUCGGACUGAAGCCUGGGACAACGCAGAGGGACUGAUGCUACUGGAGCUGGAUAUUUUGCUUGGAAACCAGAUAAGAGAAUUGAACAAGAGAAAAGGGGGGCCCCCCAAUCCUUUAUUUUUUUUGGUUAUUCCACAAACUACUUGUUCAUGAACAUUUUCAAACUGGACAAUUUAUGUCCACAUUGACUGAACUGACUGACUGAACGUUAUAUUGAAGGACUAAUUGAAAUAUGUAAUAUCUUUGUUGAAAUGAGCUUUAAAGCUACAGUGUAGAAAAACCUACCCUAAUUUUUUGAAAUAUUUGAGUUAUUUUUAAGGGUGGACAAUUUAAGUUUUAUACCUUAAUUUUAUUAAGGUAAUUAUUCUUUUGUGGAGAAAGAAAAUAAACCUGAGUUGUUAAAACGUGAA